This 351-nucleotide ribosomal RNA is filed under the name Triticum aestivum (bread wheat). RNAcentral describes it as "partial small subunit ribosomal RNA". Lineage: Eukaryota; Viridiplantae; Streptophyta; Magnoliopsida; Poales; Poaceae. The record is from RNAcentral.
AUGUUACUCAUCAGCUUCUUACUUUCAAUGUGCAAACUUGUCUUUAGACGUUUCAGUCAAGCUAGCUGUCCUUGCAAUAUCUGUUGCAGCUUCAGUUAUUUUAGGUGUAGCCUGCUAUGGUACUCAUCAGGUUCGUAUUUUCAAUGUGCAAACGUGUCUUUAGAUGUUUCAGUCAAGCUCAUAUGCAAUUUAGCUGUCCUUGCAAUAUCUGUUUCUGCUUCAGUUAUUCUAGGUGUAGCCUGCUAUUGUACUCAUCAUGUUCUUACUUUCAAUGUGGAACCUGUCUUUAAAUGUUUCAGUCAAGCUCAUAGCAAAUUAGCUGUCAUUCUUGCAAUAUCUGUUACUGCUUGA